AACGAACGCUGGCGGCAUGCCUAACACAUGCAAGUCGAACGAUGCUUUCGGGCAUAGUGACGCACGGGUGCGUAACGCGUGGGAAUCUGCCCUUGGGUUCGGAAUAACAGUGAGAAAUUGCUGCUAAUACCGGAUGAUGUCUUCGGACCAAAGAUUUAUCGCCCAGGGAUGAGCCCGCGUAGGAUUAGCUAGUUGGUGGGGUAAUGGCCUACCAAGGCGACGAUCCUUAGCUGGUCUGAGAGGAUGAUCAGCCACACUGGGACUGAGACACGGCCCAGACUCCUACGGGAGGCAGCAGUGGGGAAUAUUGGACAAUGGGCGCAAGCCUGAUCCAGCAAUGCCGCGUGAGUGAUGAAGGCCUUAGGGUUGUAAAGCUCUUUUACCCGGGAUGAUAAUGACAGUACCGGGAGAAUAAGCUCCGGCUAACUCCGUG
RNAcentral lists this ribosomal RNA (433 nucleotides) under uncultured bacterium. Its description in RNAcentral is "partial 16S ribosomal RNA". It matches the Rfam family "Bacterial small subunit ribosomal RNA", at positions 29 to 507 of the family's 1533-position model. The record is from RNAcentral.